This 243-nucleotide long non-coding RNA is filed under the name Nicotiana benthamiana. Its description in RNAcentral is "long non-coding RNA (NBEN_LNC020881)". The record is from RNAcentral. Lineage: Eukaryota; Viridiplantae; Streptophyta; Magnoliopsida; Solanales; Solanaceae.
CUUUCGUCAACAAUUUGGCUCUCAAAAACUUAUGUAAUGAAUAGAAAAAGAUGAAUAAGAGAGUAUGCAAGCUUUAGCAAUAAUAUUGUCAGUUGUUGUGUUUAGAAGACUGAUUUGUAGAUGUAUUUAUAGUGUCAAAACCAUGCAUAACCGUUGCCUAAUUGCCAAUUAAGAAUUGCUGAUUUUGUGCUGCGACUAUCGAUUGUCAAGAUGAUACAAUCGAUUGUUUUCCAAUCGUUCCAA